UACGUAGGCAGCGAGCGUUGUUCGGAGUUACUGGGCGUAAAGAGUGCGUAGGCGGUUUUCUAAGUUUGGUGUGAAAUCUCCCGGCUUAACUGGGAGGGUGCGCCGAAGACUGGAAGGCUUGAGUAUGGGAGAGGUAAGCGGAAUUCUCGGUGUAGCGGUGAAAUGCGUAGAUAUCGAGAGGAACACCUGCGGCGAAGGCGGGUUGCUGGGCUGACACUGACGCUGAGGCGCGAAAGCUAGGGGAGCGAACGGG
Molecule: ribosomal RNA, 253 nt
Filed under: uncultured bacterium
Lineage: Bacteria
Description: partial 16S ribosomal RNA
Rfam family: Bacterial small subunit ribosomal RNA
Source: RNAcentral